Molecule: ribosomal RNA, 253 nt
Filed under: uncultured bacterium
Lineage: Bacteria
Description: partial 16S ribosomal RNA
Rfam family: Bacterial small subunit ribosomal RNA
Source: RNAcentral
UACGAAGGGGGCUAGCGUUGUUCGGAUUAACUGGGCGUAAAGCGCACGUAGGUGGUGCGUCAAGUUCGGCGUGAAAUCUCCAGGCUCAACUUGGAGGGGUCGUCGAAGACUGGCGAACUAGGGUCUGGCAGAGGCCGGUAGAAUUCCCGGUGGAGCGGUGAAAUGCGCAGAUAUCAGGAGGAACACCGGUGGCGAAGGCGGGUCUCCGGGCCGAUACUGACGCUGAGGAGCGAAAGCGUGGGGAGCGAACAGG